AGAGCCAACGGUGGAUGCCUUGGCGCCAAGAACCGAUGAAGGACGUGAGUGACUGCGAAAAGCUGCGGGGAGCCGUCUACUAGGCACUGAUCCGCAGAUGUCCGAAUGGGGAAACCCAGCACUCGUCAUGGAGUGUUACCGCUGCCUGAACACAUAGGGCAGUAGGAGGGAACCGGGGGAAUUGAAACAUCUCAGUACCCCGAGGAAAGGAAAGCAACCGCGACACCCUGAGUAGCGGCGAGCGAAAAGGGUAGAGACCAAACCGUGCCAGUGCCAAGCCUGAUGGCGUUGCUGGUGCGGGGUAGUGGGACCAGGAGACACAGCAUCAGAUGUGUCACGAAUUACAAGUGCUGCAUAGGAGAACGACUCAGGAAAGGGUCGGCCAGAGUGGGUAACAGCCCCGUAUCCGAAAUGUACGCACUAUUCGCCUGCCAUCCCAAGUAACGCCGGAACCGAGAAAGCCGGCGUGAAUCUGUGGGGACCACCCCAUAAGUCUAAGUAUUCCUUGGCGACCGAUAGUGAACCAGUACCGUGAGGGAAAGGUGAAAAGUACCCCGGGAGGGGAGUGAAAUAGUACCUGAAACCGUUGGUUUACAAACAGUCAGAGCGUCGUCAUGCCUUCGGGUAUGGCCGCGAUGGCGUGCCUUUUGAAGAAUGAGCCUGCGAGUUACGGUGUGUGGCAAGGUUAACCAGUGAUGGGAAGCCGAAGCGAAAGCGAGUCUGAAUAGGGCGUAGAGUCGCAUGCUGUAGACCCGAAGCCAAGUGAUCUAUCCAUGGCCAGGUUGAAGCGGAGGUAAGACUCCGUGGAGGACCGAACCCACGUCAGUUAAAAAUGGCGGGGAUGAGCUGUGGAUAGGGGUGAAAGGCCAAUCAAACUUGGCGAUAGCUGGUUCUCCUCGAAAUGCAUUUAGGUGCAGCGUCGCGUGUUCAGUACCGGAGGUAGAGCACUGAAUGGGUAAGGGGACCUACAAGUCUACCAACCCCAAUCAAACUCCGAAUGCCGGUACUCCAGAGCGCGGCAGUGAGACCACGAGGGAUGAGCUUCGUUGGUCGAAAGGGAAACAGCCCAGAUCAUCAGCUAAGGCCCCUAAUUCAGGACUAAGUGGAAAACGAUGUGGGAUUGCACAGACAGCCAGGAGGUUGGCUUAGAAGCAGCCACCCUUGAAAGAGUGCGUAAUAGCUCACUGGUCGAGUGAUCCUGCGCGGACAAUGUAACGGGGCUCAAGUCCUGAGCCGAAGCUAUGGGUUUCGAUGAGACUUCGGUCGAUUCGGAGCGGUAGAGGAGCGUCGAUGGUGCAGUGAAGCGGCGGUGGAAACCAGCCGUGGAGCGCCAUCGAGUGAGAAUGCAGGCAUGAGUAACGAGAGAGGGGUGAGAAACCCCUCCGCCGAAAGCCCAAGGGUUCCUGGGGAAGGCUAAUCCCCCCAGGGUGAGUCGGGAGCUAAGGCGAGGCCGAAAGGCGUAGUCGAUGCACAACUGGUUGAUAUUCCAGUACCACCGUGUUCGCGCCAAGUCCAAGAGCCGCAACGUUGGGGCUGUUACCUUCGGGUAGCGAGCCGACCGAGUAGCUGGCGGAUAGUUGACGGGGGACGCAGGAGGAUAGGUGAACCCGGGCGAUGGUAGUCCCGGGGUAAGCGUGUAGGCGGGUUCCGAUGAGAGUUGGGGCCGUAACGCUGAGACGUGAUGCCGAGCGAUAUACCGCGAAGUCACUGAUUCCAUGCUGCCAAGAAAAGCCCAGCAACGAGUUGACACGGUGCCCGUACCCCAUACCGACACAGGUGGGCGGGUAGAGAAUACCAAGGCGAGCGGGAGAACUAUGGUUAAGGAACUCGGCAAAUUACCUCCGUAACUUCGGAAGAAGGAGGACCCUUUUUGGUGAAAGCCUUUACGGCUCGAGCUGAGGAGGGUGGCACAGACCAGGGGGUAGCGACUGUUUACCAAAAACACAGCAGCGUGCGAAGCCGCAAGGCGCUGUAUACGCUGUGACGCCUGCCCAAUGCUUGAAGGUCACGGGGAACGGUUAGCUCUUCGGAGCGAAGCUGUGAACCUAAGCCCAAGUGAAUGGCGGCCGUAACUAUAACGGUCCUAAGGUAGCGAAAUUCCUUGUCGGGUAAGUUCCGACCUGCACGAAUGGCGUAACGACUUCCCCACUGUCUCAACCAUAGACCCGGUGAAAUUGAAGUACGAGUAAAGAUGCUCGUUAGCUGCGGAAGGACGGAAAGACCCCGUGGACCUUUACUAUAACUUGGUGUUGAGUUUUGAAUUGCGUUGUGUAGGAUAGGUGGGAGACUUGGAAGCAUUGGCGCUAGCCAGUGUGGAGUCGUCGUUGAAAUACCACCCUGCGUACUUUGGAGCUCUAACCUCGGUCCGUGAUCCGGAUCAGGGACAGCGCCAGGCGGGUAGUUUGACUGGGGCGGUCGCCUCCUAAAGAGUAACGGAGGCGCCCAAAGGUUCCCUCAGGCUGGUUGGCAAUCAGCCGUCGAGUGCAAUGACACAAGGGAGCUUGACUGCGAGACCUACAAGUCGAGCAGGUACGAAAGUAGGGCAUAGUGACCCGGCCAUCACGUGUGGAAGUGUGGUCGCUCAACGGAUAAAAGGUACCCCGGGGAUAACAGGCUAAUCUUCCCCAAGAGUCCAUAUCGACGGGAAGGUUUGGCACCUCGAUGUCGGCUCAUCGCAUCCUGGGGCUGAAGCAGGUCCCAAGGGUUGGGCUGUUCGCCCAUUAAAGCGGUACGCGAGCUGGGUUCAGAACGUCGUGAGACAGUUCGGUCCCUAUCCUCCGCAGCCGAAGGAAUAUUGACAACUGCUGUCCUUAGUACGAGAGGACCGGGACGGACGUAGCUCUGGUGUGUCUGUUGUUUCGCCAGAAGCAUCGCAGAUUUGCUACCUACGGAAGGGAUAACCGCUGAAAGCAUCUAAGUGGGAAACCCGGUUGAAGAUGAGUAUUCCCAUGCGGUCAACGCAGUAAGGCCCGUGACGAGACCAUCACGUUGAUAGGCCGGAAGUGUAAGCGUGGUAACACGUUCAGCUGACCGGUACUAAUCGGCCGAGGGCUUGGUUU
RNAcentral lists this ribosomal RNA (3059 nucleotides) under metagenomes. RNAcentral describes it as "bacterial LSU rRNA". It matches the Rfam family "Bacterial large subunit ribosomal RNA". The record is from RNAcentral.